This 1346-nucleotide ribosomal RNA is filed under the name uncultured bacterium. RNAcentral describes it as "bacterial SSU rRNA". It matches the Rfam family "Bacterial small subunit ribosomal RNA", at positions 28 to 1381 of the family's 1533-position model. The record is from RNAcentral.
GACGAACGCUGUCGGCGUGCUUAACACAUGCAAGUCGAACGGAAAGGCCCUGCUUUUGUGGGGUGCUCGAGUGGCGAACGGGUGAGUAACACGUGAGUAACCUGCCCUUGACUUUGGGAUAACUUCAGGAAACUGGGGCUAAUACCGGAUAGGAGCUCCUGCUGCAUGGUGGGGGUUGGAAAGUUUCGGCGGUUGGGGAUGGACUCGCGGCUUAUCAGCUUGUUGGUGGGGUAGUGGCUUACCAAGGCUUUGACGGGUAGCCGGCCUGAGAGGGUGACCGGCCACAUUGGGACUGAGAUACGGCCCAGACUCCUACGGGAGGCAGCAGUGGGGAAUGUUACACAAUGGGCGGAAGCCUGAUGCAGCAACGCCGCGUGCGGGAUGACGGCCUUCGGGUUGUAAACCGCUUUCGCCUGUGACGAAGCGUGAGUGACGGUAAUGGGUAAAGAAGCACCGGCUAACUACGUGCCAGCAGCCGCGGUGAUACGUAGGGUGCGAGCGUUGUCCGGAUUUAUUGGGCGUAAAGGGCUCGUAGGUGGUUGAUCGCGUCGGAAGUGUAAUCUUGGGGCUUAACCCUGAGCGUGCUUUCGAUACGGGUUGACUUGAGGAAGGUAGGGGAGAAUGGAAUUCCUGGUGGAGCGGUGGAAUGCGCAGAUAUCAGGAGGAACACCAGUGGCGAAGGCGGUUCUCUGGGCCUUUCCUGACGCUGAGGAGCGAAAGCGUGGGGAGCGAACAGGCUUAGAUACCCUGGUAGUCCACGCUGUAAACGGUGGGUACUAGGUGUGGGGUCCAUUCCACGGGUUCCGUGCCGUAGCUAACGCUUUAAGUACCCCGCCUGGGGAGUACGGCCGCAAGGCUAAAACUCAAAGGAAUUGACGGGGCCCCGCACAAGCGGCGGAGCAUGCGGAUUAAUUCGAUGCAACGCGUAGAACCUUACCUGGGUUUGACAUGGAUCGGGAGUGCUCAGAGAUGGGUGUGCCUCUUUUGGGGUCGGUUCACAGGUGGUGCAUGCCUGUCGUCAGCUCGUGUCGUGAGAUGUUGGGUUAAGUCCCGCAACGAGCGCAACCCUUGUUCACUGUUGCCAGCACGUUAUGGUGGGGACUCAGUGGAGACCGCCGGGGUCAACUCGGAGGAAGGUGGGGAUGACGUCAAGUCCUCAUGCCCCUUAUGUCCAGGGCUUCACGCAUGCUACAAUGGCUGGUACAGAGAGUGGCGAGCCUGUGAGGGUGAGCGAAUCUCGGAAAGCCGGUCUCAGUUCGGAUUGGGGUCUGCAACUCGACCUCAUGAAGUCGGAGUCGCUAGUAAUCGCAGAUCAGCAACGCUGCGGUGAAUACGUUCCCGGGGCU